Molecule: ribosomal RNA, 430 nt
Filed under: Mactra antiquata
Lineage: Eukaryota; Metazoa; Mollusca; Bivalvia; Venerida; Mactridae
Description: partial 16S ribosomal RNA
Rfam family: Bacterial large subunit ribosomal RNA
Source: RNAcentral
GUGGUGUCGUGCUUAACGGUCGCAAUGAAUAGUUGUGCUAAGGUAGCGCAGUCAAUUGUCCUUUAAUUGGGGAAAGGAAUGAAAGGGUUGACGAGGGGGAGGCUGUCUUUGUAAUAUAAUUUGAAAUUUUCUUUUACGUGAAAAGACUUAAAUUUUAAAAUAAGAAGAGAAGACCCCGGCGAGCUUGUUAAGGGUUGUUAAAUGAAAAUGACCAUUGAGGUUUGUUGGGGCAACGCAAAGGGAAGAAAACUCCUUUGAACGUGAUAAGGAUCCACUAAGAGUGAAUAAAGCAAAAGCUACCGCGGGGAUAACAGCGCAAUUUUCUUAGAGAGUUCAUAUCGAAGAGAAAGUUUGCGACCUCGAUGUUGGAUUAAGAUUUCCUUUUGGUGCAGGAGUUAAAAAGGUGGGACUGUUCGUCCUUUAAAAUUUU